UCCUGAUUGAUAAACAUUUGAGUGAGUGGCGGACGGGUGAGUAACACGUGGGUAACCUGCCCUAAAGUGGGGGAUAACAUUUGGAAACAGAUGCUAAUACCGCAUAAAACCUAACACCGCAUGGUGUAGGGUUGAAAGAUGGUUUCGGCUAUCACUUUAGGAUGGACCCGCGGUGCAUUAGUUAGUUGGUGAGGUAAAGGCUCACCAAGACCGUGAUGCAUAGCCGACCUGAGAGGGUAAUCGGCCACACUGGGACUGAGACACGGCCCAGACUCCUACGGGAGGCAGCAGUAGGGAAUCUUCCACAAUGGAUGAAAGUCUGAUGGAGCAACGCCGCGUGAGUGAAGAAGGUUUUCGGAUCGUAAACUCUGUUGUCGGAGAAGAAUGUAUCUGAUAGUAACUGAUCAGGUAGUGACGGUAUCCAACCAGAAAGCCACGGCUAACUACGUG
Molecule: ribosomal RNA, 450 nt
Filed under: uncultured bacterium
Lineage: Bacteria
Description: bacterial SSU rRNA
Rfam family: Bacterial small subunit ribosomal RNA
Source: RNAcentral